UGAACCAGGGAACCCUGGGCCGCCGAAGCAGAAUGUGCGAAAUUAACUGCCGCGCCACAGGGCCGGCCCCUAGGAUAGCCUUUUAUGUUAUUAAAAAGAACAGGUAAUGCUGGUACCAGAAAAUUUUACUUGCAAUAAACAAAUAAGAUGGUAAAAUUAUUCACAUUAUGAAAGCAUCCCUGAGUCAUUUGGGUGUUUGCUUACAUAUUAUUAAAUAUUUUACACACAUCUUCUACCAUACUACCUGGUAUCUGUUUGAAUGUUGCCUUGAAAAUGAGAACGUGCUAUUUCACACUUGAGUGUCUGUUUUAACCAGAUUGUCGACUACUUGCAGGCAUGAGGCUCUGCUUGGUUAUUUGAAGAAAAAUAAAUGGGAUAAAUGGUCUGAUAGAUGGUCUGGCACUGAACGCUGUAGCUGAAACUCAUGAAUGGGGAUCUUACCAACCUCUUGAAAACCACACUUUACUAGUCCAUGGAGUGGCCAGGCUCUUCCACAGUGACCAUAGCAAUCAUCCAGACUUAGGAUAAUAAGUGCAUAUGAAUGACCAAGGAAUGGAUGAAUGGCUUGUCCUUAUCCAGAUAAAGAAAUCCAGAGGGACAGAAUGGGUGCCCAUGCAGACUGAUGUGCUGCAUUGUACUUGCCAAAUUCUCAGAAUGAUGCAUGUUAUUCCAAUAAGUAGAUUCUUCCAAGAAACCAAAGUAACUGAUGUCAAAUGCAUCCUCUCUCCCUACACACUGGAUUUGGUUGUUACUCCUCUUUUCCUGAAGCCUGGGAUUCCAUAUUCCAUCAAGGUUAGAUUAGAAAAUCUAAUACGGUGCAUUUUUAGUCUGUGAAAGGACAGAGGAAAAGAAUCUCUGCUACAUGUUGCUCCUGUGUGACCUUCAGUGUAAACACUUAAAUGGAGAAUAGAAUGAGGGCGGGGAGAAAUAGGACCAGGCCAUGUUGAAAAACAACUGUCUAGAUCCAGGCCUGGUAAUAAUUUCACUCAACCCAUGGCUUAUAUACAAGCACAUAGCACAGUGCCCUGCUCUUAUUAAACACUCAGUAACUGUACAUUGAACUGAAUGUAAUUCAUAUAUAUGCCAGGAGUGGUUAAAACACAACGAUAAGAGAACCACAUUUGACUACUGAAUUAAAUUCUACCAAGCCCGUGCUUGGGAAUGGAUUAUGUUAGGGUUUUCUUUUUGUUAAAGAGUCAGUAUUAACUCUUGGAAUGGACUUGGUCCAACAUGUGCAGGUGAAGGGUGCCUUUGCCCAUUUCGCAGGAGGGAUCACAGUAACCCUGAAGGCGAAACUCCGGAGAAGACAGUUCUGGAUCCAAGAAAAAGCACAACAAAUUACAAUGAUGGAGUAGCUUCAUUUGUAGUUAACAUUCCCUCUGACGUGACAGUGCUGGAGUUUCACGUGAGCAAAAUUCUCGUUUGUUCUGUCUUCUAAUAGCACCUCAGUCUGUGUGGUCGCUAGCAUGCAGGAAAGAUGAGGGAGAUUUUAUGUAUAAGCCUAGUGAACUUCUCUGAAACAUUUGACUUGUGGGCACAGGGAAUACAAUUCAGUGUACUGAACAUUCCAUAAAGGAUAUGAGUGUCAAUUUUGUGUCUAGGAAGUAAUUUUUUCUUCUUAUGCUAAACAUAAUACUAUUCAAUCAGGAAACUUUAGAACAAGAACUGCCAGUGGAACACAAGAAUACAGACAGGGUCUUCUCUGGUCCAUUAUUUCCAGCUGUCGUCAUCUCUUCCUCAAUUCACAUGCAAACUACACUAAAGAAUAGCCUGCAUUCCUUUCUUCCCCUCCCAGAUCUCCUCAGACUACGAGAUCUGGCUUCGGCCCCCACCACUCCACUGAAACUGCUCUCACCGAGGUUACCUGGAGCUACUUGCCGAGAUCGCUGGAUAUUUUUCAGUCUUUAUCGUCCUUGCCUUCUCUAAGACGUUUGGUGCAGUGGACCAUUGUCUUUUUCUUUCAAUAAUCUAUUCUAGCCUCUGUGACUCCACAUUUCCUUGCUUUGUCUUUUUCUCCUUUGUUCUCUUUAUACCUUCCAAUUUGGACCAGUAAUCCCUAGCUUGCCCUCUAAACGGGGGUGAUCCUCAGGGUUCUAUUUAGACCCUCCUGUCUUCUUACCCGACACAUUUUUAUUUGACAUAUAUCCUCUGUGAUUCCAUCUGCUCCCAUAGCUUAUGCUGAAGACUCAUCCUAAACACUCAAGAUCCUUACAGACGCUGCCUUCUCCGUAUCUUUUUCUUGGAUCUUUCAAAGAAGCAUAAACAUGGCUUUGUCCAAAACUAACAACCAACCACCUGCCAGCCUCAAACCUAGACCUCUCCCACUGCCCUGUUUCAGUGAACAGCCCCACCGCCACCUAGUUAUUCACUCUCCUUCCAGUCACUCUCCUCGUUUUGGCAAAGGAGAUAGAGUCAUCUUUCUGAGACACAAAUCUGAUCUUUAUUGACCUUGUUCUUGCUCCCCUCUCCAAACGCAUUGCUCAUCACUCUUCCCAUCGCACCUCAAACUCCAGCUACACUGGGCAGUUUGCCACUCCCUAAUAGCCUGCUCUCUAUUGCCACAGGCCUUUGCAGGUCUACCUCAAACUCUCCUUCCUCAGUUCUUUGAUUCCCUAACUCCUGCUUAUUUGGGGGUCAACUUUUCAAUCAUGUCCUCCACUCAUGUCCUUCUCUAACUACCCUCUGUUAAUAUGAGUAUGUUUUCCUUACCCCAUGAAAGUCUCAUGGAUUUCAGGCUUCCUGAGGGCGAGAGCUGUGUCCAUCUUAUUUACGUUUGUCCCCAGCAACUAGCAUAGUUCCUGACACAUAUUAGGGACCAGUAAAUAUUGAUUGGCUGAAUGCAUACAUUUCUUUCCAAACCUAAACAAGAGCCAAAUAUCAUUGUCUCCUUUUUCUCUAAUAGCAUGAACCAUUUUUCCUCUGUUCUUGUUAUCAAGUUACAUUCACCAGCAAAUAACCUAAUUCUUCAGCUUCAAGGAAAACAUAGAUGUUUCCAGCCUCUUGUUCAAGAACUAGUACAGCAUGGCACGUAUAUUUAUGAGUUCACUGUGACCCUGCACUUUACCCUCAAGAACAGAUCUUGUUUACUUUCCUAAAUCCUUCUCCCCAUCUCUCUCCUGAGAAGUGGUAAAAUUAUUCACCACCAUAUCCAUUCACAACUGAUGUCUGUGUUAGCUUUUAAGAAUUAUUGCCACAUCUCUACCCACAUUUUCCCUUUCCCCAAAUUCCUAGUUUCUGCUAGCCUGUGGCAGAAGGAAAUGAGUCAAUAAGUUGGUAUGUCAUUUAAGAAAGAAGGCCAACCCUAGAUCUAAGAUCCUUUCUCUUCUUUGACUUCACUGAACUCUUCCACUGUAGCCUAGAUUUUCAUAGUUAAUUUUAUUAUUUUUUUAAUCAAUGGCCUUUCUGUAAUCACUUGAUAACAUAGCUUACCUUACUGUUAAGGCAGUGGAAUGCCAAUCUGCUUUUCAUAAGAUGCUGUGAAGCCUGAAGAUUUAUAAGGUAUGUGGAUACAUUCAUACAUGUCAAACACUUAGAACCAGAACUGGCACUAAGUGAAUGCUGGGAAAGUAUUAAUGGUUACCAACACCAACACCACCAUUACCAUCUUUGUCAUCAUUGAUACAAAGUUUAGGAUUAGUGUUUUACAUUUAUUGACACUAUCUUCUUUAGGUCAAAACUGAUGACCCAGAAGAAUUCAGAAGAAUCCACAAGAAUAUCAGGCCAGCAACGACUAUCAAGCAGUGGCCUACAAAAUCACGUAGCCAAAGUCUCCUUUCCCUUAGCUGGACAGACAGUUACAAGAGUUUGCUUAUGGGAGAACAUCUGAGCGUAACUGUUACCCUUAAAAGUCCAUCUGUUGACGCGAUUACACACUACAAUUACUUGGUAAAUUCAAUACUAUCUUACUUGCAUCUAGUCCCCUACCUGCAGCAUUUUCUUAUGCAAAUAAUCUUUUAAACGAUUCUUAUCUGACACAAAACAGUACUCAGUUGAUAUUUAGUGAAUGAAUAGGUGAACUCACAUAGCAUUUUAUAGUCUAUAAAGCACAUUCACAAACAUCCCCAUAGCAGAGCCUCACAACACUUCUUAGAGCUGGGGGACAAUGGAACAGAUUGGAGAGGUUGCGUGACCUGCCGUGUUCACAAGUAGUUGGUGGUAGAUUUAGGAUUUUGUUCACAAUCUUCUGACUCCUAGACUGAUAUUCCUUCUAUGGCAUGAUGCCAAGGGUUUGAUCAGAGCCUUCCUUCAGUCCCCAGACUAGUCAGUGACCUCAGCAACGUUUCACCGCCAAUCAUUUGGUCAACGUUUCAUUACCAAGCAUCGGACUGCCAGGCCUUGCUGGCAUUCCUUAAGAACAUUCCCUGUUUAUGAAGGGAAGAAUUUAAGUCCUGAGCUCAAGAAUGGAUGUAGUGAUUCCCAGGCGUUGUUCAUUGCUGUUUAAAAUACGAACUAGCAAGAUCAGCAGCAUAUUAUAUUUGAAAAGUCAUGGGCUUUGAGUCAGCAAGGUCAGAGUUCACUUCCUAGAUAAAUCCAUGUUCAGAAACAAACCUUUGAAUGUAAACAAUUCCAAGCUAUCUUUGUUUCAGUGACCGAUAACAUCAUCUUGUUUACUAGGUCAUUUGUUGGAAUAAGCAAUAACCUCAUUGAUUCUGAGAGAGGCACCUUUUAAGCUAAUGAGACAGCUUAUGAGCUUCAAUUUCUAUAACUACUAAAUGAAUAAAACCACAAUAUGCAAUUGGGAGGAUUGAAUAUGUUCAUGUUUAUGUGCCUAAUGCGUAGUAGAUGCUCAAUGGAUGUUAAUUCUCUUCCUCUUUGUCACCUGCCUAACUACUAGCCCAACUUUAAGUCCACUCUGAUGAGUAUUUGUUACUGUGUAUUUUUAGAUUUCAUCUAAGGGCAAAACUGUACACUUUGGCACAGAGAAGAAGCUCCCAGGUUCAUCCUACCAACUUUUAAACCUUUCCGUGACUCAGCACAUGGUUCCUACAGCCCGUCUCCUAGUCUAUUACACCAUGACAGGAGAGCAGACUGCAGAAUUAGUGUCUGACUCAGUCCAUCUAAAUAUUGGAGAAAAGUGUGGCAACCAGCUCCAGGGGAGCCGAAUACUCUCCCCAGCCCGAGUUCCUCCUGAGUGACUGUGUAAUCUCACUUUAACAUACUUUCUUUUUCAACUAAUUUUAGAUCCAUUUGUCUCCAAAUAAAGACAUAUAUUCUCCAGGCGAAGCUAUAUCUCUUACUGUGGAAACUCAGUCAGAAUCGUAGGUAGCAUUAUCAUCAUUGAACGGUGCUAUAUAUGGCACCCAAGAAAGAAGCAAAAAUCCCUUGGAAAGAGUUAAGUAUGGUAAAUGCUGUGGUUACUGAUGCUUGGCGUGGCUUGGGGCCAAGUGGCCACCAGGAUUCUCUAAGGGUUCUGGGGGUUAGUCAUGGGAGCAGAAUAAAGGAAAAGGAUGCAAUUAUACUAAUGUCUGACUUCUCAGCUAGAUUUAAGGAUAAUAAUAUCAACAGCUAACAUUUAUUGAACACUUACUGUGUGCGGAAUAUUCUUGUAAGAACUUUAAAUCAUUAUCUUAUUGAAUAUUCACAACCAUCCUCUGAGAUGCAUAUCAAUGAUAAAGAUAUUUAAAAUCUUUAUCUAGUGGAGUUCCCAUGUUAUCCACGAGGAAAACUGAGACACAGAGAUAUUAGGUGACUUAGGGCCUGGGUGGAAUCUCAGCACAGAGUAGAAGCAAGUGACUUGUUUGGUCUGAGUUACUUCUUUUAGUUAUCCUUUUAGAUAUAUAAAGGAUAGUUAUCCAGUUAGUUUACCCUCCAAUUUAUUUUAUAUUACAUGAACACACUUAUUUGGGAAUAUCCUCAGUGAAAUGCUAAAAGGCAAUUUUCUCUGGGAAUAAACUAAAAUGUAGUUAAAUCCACAUUCAGAAACAAACCUUCAAAUGCAACCAAUUCCAAACUAUCUUCCUUUCAGUGACUGAUGACAUCAUCUUGUUUACUAAGCUGUUUGUCGGAAUAAGCAAUAACCUUAUUGACUCUGAGAGAGGGCACCUUUUAAGCUAAUGCAUAAAAUUAAAUUUCUUGCUCACUCCAGGGAAGAGAUAUGACUGAAAAUGCUGGGGUUCUAGUGCACUGAGUGUAUUAAAUCCGUUGGAGAGGUGAUGGAGAGGGGAGCAGAAAACAGGGGCAUGGUGUGGGAGACUAUAUGGCUACAUACGAAACUGCAGUCAUGAAUAGCUGUCUCCCCUUGCCUGUCCCUUCCCCAGCCAAGUCCCUCCCUCCCACCCGCAAUAGCCCAUACACUUUCAUGGGUCACAUGGGUCAUGGUCACAAGCUUUGAGGAGGAGUCAACCCUCCGCACCAAAAAUAAUUCCCUGAGCAUCCUUACCCAUUUCUGUGCUCUUCUCUAUCUUGGGUGGAGCAGUAAAAUGCAGGGUCUCACCCCUCUCAGAACUUACAACCUAGAGCUGGAAAAGGACCAUGAGGGGUAGUGAGUAUUUCAUUUACUUGUUCAUUCAUUCAUUCGUUCAUUCAAAGGAUAUUUUAUUAGUUAAUUCAAUAUGCAAAGCCUCAAAAAGGGAGAGUGUAGGUUGUUUUCUAGGAACUUCCAUAUCAAAGUUAUGUGCUGAAGUCUUGGCUCUUGAGUGAAUUUUGAAUAGCAUGUGUUUGUAAAACUCAUGAGGUGAAAACUAGGGAAAGAAAGAAAGGUUUGGAAAACUGGAGAAUUAGAUUUUAACAUUUAAAAGUGAGUGACUUGCAACUAACACUAUCCACAAGUCAGGUAUUCCUCAUAACAGCCACUGAAUAUUGUUUUCUGGGGGAAUGAUUUCCUUUCUGAACAGGUACUUCGAUCUUUCGGUAAAAGUGACCAGGACUGUGGAACAGGUGGUGGCAGGAGUAGUGCUGAAGUGUUCUACUUAGCGGGACUCCCUGUCCUCACCAAUGCAAAUGCAGAUGACUCCCAGCAAGAUGAUGGAUCAUUUAAGAAAAUUCUCAGGUCCAGAAGAGACUUGAAAGAGGAAAUAGAAAAUCCAGGUGCUCCAAUGUCUCCUGUUGUUUUCAGAAGUUAUGAUGGAAUCGCCCAGGGUCUGCUACAUUUUGUCAUUCUAGCUGGUUGAUGUAGAGCAGGUGAAAAAGAUCGGUGGGCACUUCCAGCUUCUAUUUUCCAUAGGGGGAAGGCAAACUGGGUAAAUUAACCUCCAUUUAUUUAUCACAGUCUUAACCUAAAGGAAACAGGUCACCAUCAUGUUCAUUCUCUGUAGUUAUAAUAGAGUCAGUUUUUAAUUGUCUCAGAUUUUACUCUCUGUCAGGGUAGCUGGUAUAGCAGUUAAAUGUAUGACUUCCAUUAAAUUCUCACAAAAGCUAGGUCUGAUGAACUUUAGGAUGAAAUAAUCAUAGCUAACCCUAAUUAAGCACUUACUAUGUGCCAGGCUUUGUGGAAGCCUCAUAAUCAGAUUUUCUCAUUGAACAUUCAUGCCAAUCACAUGCGGUAGGUACUCUUAUUACCCCCAUUUUCCAGAUGAAGACAUCAAGACACAGAGAAAUUAAUCAUAAUUAACACGCCCAAUGUCAUGGAGCAGUGAAAGGCACAGGGAGAAUUCAAACCCAAGUCAGACUGAUAGCAGAGCCCACUGCACUGGUGACCACUAUGUUCUACUGAGCGCUACUCCUUUUCUUUGGUGCAUUGAUAUUCAGGACUUGUCCAGAUUAUUUGGGAAGGUGGGUCUGAAAGAACCAGUUUUUAUAUACCACUUAGAUUUCAGGUACACUGUCAAUAACAUUAAUUACUGGAGGAGUUACAGAUACCAUGCUUUAAUACUAAUGAUGAUGACAUCAAUAAAGUUUUCCCAUUACAGUAGGUACUUGUCAAAAUAGCAUCUUUAGAAGACAUCACAUAAAGAACAAUGUUUUUAGAAUCAGAGAGUGGGCUUGACUCUUGGCUUACUAUUUAUAGCUAUGUGACCUUAGCUAAGUUACUUAAUCUCCUGGAGCCUCAGUUUCUUCUUCUGCAAAAUGGAGACAAUUUCUGCCUUGCAGAGUUAGUAGAAUUAAAUGAGAUAAUGCAGGAAAAGCACUUAGCUCAGGAGGAACUCAAUAAACAGUAACUCGCAAUGCUCUAUUCUUUUUAAAGCCCCCUUACCAAAGCCAUGUUCUGACCUAGGCUAGACAGAAAUUACAAUCAUUUAUUGAUGGCAAAGUGAGUUUCUGCAAGUCCAAAUGACUGGGUGAGAUGGGGCUGCCACAAGUAUCAGAGCUUCCAUUCUGUGGUCCAGAGGCCUUUCACCUCAUAAUACUGCCUCUUGGCUCCAGCCCUGGCUCUGCCCCUUAACAGCUGUGGCCACAUGGACAAGUCUCUUCCCCUCUUUGCAUCACCCUUUCCUCAUCUCUACGUGACAGAGAAGGACAUGAUCAAUUCUAAAGUCCCAUUCAGCGGUUUUUGAGAAAACAAGAGGACAACCUAAGUGAACACUCUUGAUCUUCUGUACACCCAUGCAGGCUUUAUACUGACUGCAGCCUGACUGUCUCAGCCAAGUGAGUGUCCAGUGGGGAGUGACUAUAUGAGGGUUUUGAAACCAAUCAUAUCCCAUGAACACAUGAUCUGAAUAAAAAAAUCCCAGGGAUGUUUACCAGAGAAAGGCUAAGACUUAGGCGGUCAUGAUGAUUAUCUUCAAAUAUUCAAGGAACUUGUGAUUACGUGAGUUUUUCUGCACAAGAGGAAUACCAACAAGGGGGCUGGUAAUAGGAGUUAGAUUUUGGUUUAGAAGAUGUCAGGAAGAAUUUUCCAGCGAUUAGAGCUCUCUGAAGUGGAACAGGCUGCCUAGGGAGGAAACAAUUUCUCAUUCUGGAGCUGUUGCGGCAGGGGCUGGUCGACCAGUGGUACUAGAUGGGGUGUGGGCAGGGGGCACCCGGGAAGAAGUUGGACCACGGCCUCUUAGUCCAGCCUCAAGAUGUGGAAUCUGUCCCUGGCUAAGAAUGGUGGUAUCAUCAUCUCAGCCUCCAAUUUCAAACAUCCCCGGAUGCGGAAGUGCUGUUACUAUGGAGCCUAUCAAAAGGAGGAAAGAGCUGCACGGAUUACCAUUGGCCCGAUUUGUUCCAGAGCUUUCUCUCAGUGUUGUAACCUGGCAAAUCACCUGUGGAAUGAGACUUUUCACAUCUCUGUAAUCGUGGGAAGGCAAGAGGUAUCAAACGUGUACACAAUGAGCAGCAAUGUAUGCAGCAUUUUUUUAGAAAACUGGUUGUGGAAAGUAUAUCAUGUUCCUGAAAGGCAUCAGCUGGAGUUGAUGCUACCUGAUUUUUUAACCAUCUGGAAAAUUCAAGGUAUUGGCAUUUCAAAUAAAGCAAAGAAAAUACAAGAAGUUGAGAGAAGAUGAGAGCCCCCUGGGGGCCCCUAACCCACUUCUGGGCACUGCCACCUCUUGCAGGUCUAUGUGUUGCCGAUGUGCUGCGGUUUGGGUGCAGGUGAACAAAGACCAUUUCCUGGUCAUAAACAACAAUCUUACAAGAGUCAAUUAAAAGGGACAGUUUCCAACAUCAGAACUCCGGGAACCUUAGUCAGUAGUCCUCAACUCAGAAACAAUGGCUGAAGCUCCAGCAGCCAUCUUGCACUAUGAAGUAACACUGAAGAUAGAAGCUAGAUGCCAGCAUGGUGGAACAAAAAGAUAAUGGUCCCUGCCUCUGAUGACAUGUAGAGCUGACAUUCCAGCCUUGGAUUUCUUUUAUGUAGGAAAGAAAUAAACAUAUAUCUCAUUUAA
This is a long non-coding RNA of Equus caballus (horse), 9743 nucleotides long. RefSeq lists it as uncharacterized. The record is from RefSeq and is a predicted model, not a curated record. Lineage: Eukaryota; Metazoa; Chordata; Mammalia; Perissodactyla; Equidae.